This is a long non-coding RNA of Micropterus salmoides (largemouth bass), 334 nucleotides long. RefSeq lists it as uncharacterized. The record is from RefSeq and is a predicted model, not a curated record. The transcript has 5 exons. NCBI's taxonomy places the organism in Eukaryota, Metazoa, Chordata, Actinopteri, Centrarchiformes, Centrarchidae.
CGUUGUCAAGAGUUUCGGCGACGGAACUGGAGAGCUAACGGCUACACCGCCACCUAGCUUGCUCCGAUGCAGUGUUUUCCUUUACAAAUGUUAAGAUACACUGUGGAUUUGUUGGAUGAGGAUGACUCUCAGCAACUGAGUUUACCAGAGCUGCUGCAAUCACCCAGGAUGAUGUGAACCUUGGGAGAGAAGAGGCAGCCCAACACCACAGACCCACUCAGACUGACGGAGAUGCACAUGGUGGUGGUCUGCACCUGGAAGAGGAAAGACAGCAGCCAGACCACCACCACUACCAGCUGGCAGGAGAUCAGAGCACCACAGAUGGCAACCUGGG